ACCAUGGUGCAGAUAGCAAAAUCAUUGAUGAUUAAAGAUGAAUCCAUCAUCAAAGUAAGGAAUUCAUUACAAACGAUUGAUAGAUCGGUAAUAAAUCUGUGGAAGAAUCAAGACUAUUAAUAUAGGUUGUCACGCUUGUCGGAAUACAUAAUUAAUCGGUUAGAAGACGAAACGAAAGCAGAAAAUUAACACGUCUAGACGUCUAGAAACUCCAAUUUAUCACCUCCAAAUUCAACAGUAAAUUGGAGACGAGGAUGAAAUUCAUUAAAUUUACACAAUAAUAAGUUAAUAUCCGACGGAUCAACCGCCAGGCACACAUCAUCCACGUAUCUGUAAUAAAAAGGAAGUUAAACGACGACAACGCUAGCGACUCAAGCCUUCUGAUAACUAGGUCCGCCACAAUAGGUAGAGAACAUGCUCUGGAAAUAAAACACCACUGUUCGUUAAUGCAAUCAAUCGCUAUAUGUCAAGAGGGACGUUUGUAAAUAACGAAAUAACAUCAAG
Molecule: long non-coding RNA, 504 nt
Organism: Cyphomyrmex costatus
Lineage: Eukaryota; Metazoa; Arthropoda; Insecta; Hymenoptera; Formicidae
Exons: 4
Source: RefSeq, a predicted model, not a curated record